Molecule: long non-coding RNA, 532 nt
Organism: Impatiens glandulifera
Lineage: Eukaryota; Viridiplantae; Streptophyta; Magnoliopsida; Ericales; Balsaminaceae
Exons: 3
Source: RefSeq, a predicted model, not a curated record
CAGACUCAAAACUAAGUCGCACACAAGUUGGAAGUUUUGGAAGUUGCGGUCUUGGAGGCGAUAUCUGCUAUCUGCUUCUUCUACUCUCUAUGUAUCAUUGAGAUCCAAAAGUUCAUAUCCUCCUGAUCAUUUCAGAGAAUGAUGUGUGAGGGAUUCAAUAGACAUCGUUUAAGUUGUGGCAACUUCUGUUUCCAGUGGCGUUCGUCCUUCUGAUGAGAUUGUUCUAAAUAUCCGAGGAAUGAUGUGUGAGGGAUCGAUGCGCUUCCAGCAUAAAGAGAAUACUAGAAAUCUAAGUGAGGUUUCUUUUUAUAAUUUUUUUGGAUUGUCUUAAUUAGGAACCUAAUUCUUCUUGUUUCUACAAUCAAAAGUGUCUUCUGCUGCUGUUGAUCUUGCUGCAGAAAUUGCAGUUAAACCGCCUGUGUAUCUGAAGCCACAGGAGUGCCAAACCAUUUAGGAGAAACUCUUGCCAAACGUUUAACCAAUUGUGGAUUUGCAUCCAAUCUUCCAGGUGAGCAACAUCUUCUUCAAUUGU